Molecule: long non-coding RNA, 237 nt
Filed under: Mytilus galloprovincialis (Mediterranean mussel)
Lineage: Eukaryota; Metazoa; Mollusca; Bivalvia; Mytilida; Mytilidae
Source: RNAcentral
CAGCUACAUACAAAAGUAAUGUUUUUCUUUAGGGUUAUUAUUUUCAUGGCUCAAUUGUUGACAUUUAGGUAGAAUAUGUAUAAAAUGAACUUUUGGUGAAAAGAUUUUCACAAAAUGUUCAUUUUUCAUGAGUCUAUACUUCUUUUCCUGUCUGCGGCACUGCAUGAUUAAUUGAAAUUUCCAUAUUUGGGUUAAAAAUUUGUUUAAAAAGUAGAAUUUUUCUAAAACUAUCCAUCA